Molecule: ribosomal RNA, 496 nt
Filed under: uncultured bacterium
Lineage: Bacteria
Description: partial 16S ribosomal RNA
Rfam family: Bacterial small subunit ribosomal RNA
Source: RNAcentral
GAUGAACGCUGGCGGCGUGCCUAAUACAUGCAAGUCGAGCGAACAGACGAGGAGCUUGCUCCUCUGACGUUAGCGGCGGACGGGUGAGUACACGGGGAAAAACCUCCUUUUAGAACGGGGAAAACUUGGGGAAACGGAGCUUAAACCGGGUAAAAUUUUUAACCCGCAGGGUUCAUUAGUGAAGGCCGGUUUUGCGGUCACUAUAGGUGGAAUCCCGGCGGAUUUGGCUAUUUGGUAAGGUAACGGCUUACCAGGCAAAGGAUCGUAGGCCAACCUGGAAGGGGAAUCGGCCAAACUGAAAUUGAGCCACGGCCAAGCUCCUUCCGGAGGCAGCAGUAGGGAAUCUUCCGCAAUGGGCGAAAGCCUGACGGAGCAACGCCGCGUGAGUGAUGAAGGUCUUCGGAUCGUAAAACUCUGUUAUUAGGGAAGAACAAAUGUGUAAGUAACUAUGCACGUCUUGACGGUACCUAAUCAGAAAGCCACGGCUAACUACGUG